This 71-nucleotide transfer RNA is filed under the name Loxodonta africana (African savanna elephant). It matches the Rfam family "tRNA". From Rfam's summary of the family: Transfer RNA (tRNA) molecules are approximately 80 nucleotides in length. Lineage: Eukaryota; Metazoa; Chordata; Mammalia; Proboscidea; Elephantidae. The record is from Rfam by way of RNAcentral.
GCAGUGGUGAUUCAGUGGUAGAAUUUUCGUCUUCCGUGAGGGAUACCUGGGUUCGAUUCCCGGCCAAUGCA